This 214-nucleotide long non-coding RNA is filed under the name Elaeis guineensis (African oil palm). RNAcentral's name for it is "long non-coding RNA (EGUI_LNC067511)". Lineage: Eukaryota; Viridiplantae; Streptophyta; Magnoliopsida; Arecales; Arecaceae. The record is from RNAcentral.
CUGGGCAGGUAUGGCUGAGCUUGCCUCUCCCAUUCUGAUCUUCUUCGCCGGCCCGGUAGUUGCGGCGCCUUUUCUCUAGUAGGCCUUGAGGCCCCUGGCCAGCAGUUGUACGGCUUCCGCACCUUCCGUGUCCAUGCCUACAACAAAAAGACAAGGGGGAGAGGUCAAAAAAAAAAGAAGAGAGAAAAAGAAAGAAGAGAAAUGGGGGGAGAGA